AAGUCAUUAACUGGGCCGUUCCAAAUAUUAGAGUUUUGGGGAUAUGAAUAUCUGGGCAUAUGUAGACCGUGCGACCCAACUAGUGAAGAAAAAUGGCCAAGAACUUCCCGGUGGAAAGCGAAGAAAAAGACUAUUGAUAUUGUUCACUGUAGGAAUGCGCUUAAUCAGUUGACUGCAGACAUCGUGACAUGGAGACCGUGGGAAUCCGCCAUUGGUGUUCUUGACUCUGAUGUUGGUCGCAGGGCUGUGGAGCUUUCA
Molecule: long non-coding RNA, 258 nt
Organism: Papaver somniferum (opium poppy)
Lineage: Eukaryota; Viridiplantae; Streptophyta; Magnoliopsida; Ranunculales; Papaveraceae
Exons: 2
Source: RefSeq, a predicted model, not a curated record